This 1684-nucleotide long non-coding RNA is filed under the name Lotus japonicus. RNAcentral describes it as "long non-coding RNA (LJAP_LNC000898)". Lineage: Eukaryota; Viridiplantae; Streptophyta; Magnoliopsida; Fabales; Fabaceae. The record is from RNAcentral.
UUGUUUCUUUGUGCCUGAAACAGGAUCAAGAGAACUUUUACAUGGAUGGUAGGUUAUCCUCAUUCCUCAACCUGGACCAGUUUAACCGCAAUUACAGUAAAAUCCUAUUACUUUUCCUCAAAGCAAUAUCAUAAUCUGUCGAAUAAACAUUAUCUCAUAAAUUUACUCUCAUUCAAUUUAAGAAUAUUUGGAAAUAUUAAAUUUUACAUAUCACUUGACAAAUCAUAAAAACAUAAUCAAUUGUCCAAAUCAAAAUAAUACAAAACUGAAAGAAAAUAAAAAUUAAGAAUAAAAAGGUGAUAAACUGAACCAUAUAUAACAGUAACUCACACCUGAAAUCAUAUUAUAAUUAUAAUGACAUUGAAGUGUGUUUCCGAAAGGCAAGUGAAUAGACAUGGAAUGUUGUACAGUAAGUUCUAUUAUAUUCUCGAGAGGCGACCUAAUAGCCUAAAACAAUAUGAAAGUCUUAGCGGCUCUGACUAAUAUGCUUUGAGUGAGAUGAGAGAUCUUUCAGUGAAAAGUUUCAGCUUUCAUUGUUUUUCUUUAGGUAGAAAAGCUUCUAUAUUUAUAGCAGAGUGUAGAGUAGAGCUACUGAUCUAUCUGAAAGUUGUUGCUACAGUUGUACAUGUAACCGCCUAUAACUGACAUUAUAACUGAAUUGUUAAAUGAAGACGAAGAUGACUACAACAAUAAAAUCCUCAUCAUUCAAACUUUGUAAGAAUAUCAUUUUGCAUAAGGGUAAAUAUAAAAAGGCAGAUACCCCAUCAUCAAGUAAUGCAUACAUAUAAACUAACUGUUAGGUAUAAAUUAAGGUGGUCUCCUUUCCUCUUUCAGCUAUGAAGCUUGUUGUGCAUUUGAAGUUUUACUUACUAAUAACAAAUAAGUUCAUCCUCAAAUAUUUUCAGGUUGGGAUUUCAUGUGGAUAUUCGGUCACAUCCUGUUAAUUUUAGCAAACAGUCAAAUAAUUAAUUGUACAUACCUCACACCCAAUUGAGUUCUAACUUCUAACUUGUAGCCACUCUUUCUUAUUUAUAGCAUACAAUUUAAACAUGUUUUUACUGUGGAUGUAAACUAUGUAACUCUCAGGAAUAGAUUGAUAAAUUAAGUCCUUUGUUUUUACAAAACUCAAACAGAAAGGCUUCAAGCAUCAUAUGACCAACUUGAAAAGCAAUAUAAUGAAGAAUUAAACAUAAAAGAGAUCUUUGUUACCAAAUAUCUGAGUUGAAGCGAUAGGGAAAUCAGCAAGUAGCCCCGAGCACCUAUAACUUGGGGUCUCCACUAUCUAGCAAGACCAACAUCACUUGUUUCAAACAUGCAUCCUAUAAGGACAACAUAUGCAAGUAGUUAUUAAAAGGGGAAAUGGUCAGCAAGGUAAUGUUAUGAGUUAGGAAAAUUUACAGUUAUCUCCUCAUUCAAUUUUGCACUAUAAGAGUUCAAACAAACACAUUAAAAAUCUCACAUAUUUGUAUUCUAGAACGAAAAAUAUUUAAGUAUGAACAAAUAAGCACCAUUAGAACACUAAAUUAAGCAUUACCAAAAUAAGCAUCAACGUGAUCUAUAGAGUUAACAACAUCAUAUCACAUUAUAAGAGUUUACCUUAGAAUUUAGGUCCUUCUUCCCUUACUUGGCUUCAACGCUCACAAUUUCUUUCAGCUUUCUAACCUGAAGAGUCAUCCCCAACACC